GAUGAACGCUGGCGGCGUGCCUAAUACAUGCAAGUCGAGCGAACGGACGAGAAGCUUGCUCCUCUGAUGUUAGCGGCGGACGGGAGCGUAACACGUGGAUAACCUAACUAUACGACUGGGAUAACUUUGGGAAACCGGAGCUAAUACCGGAUGAUAUUUUGACCCGCAUGGUUCCAGAGUGGAAUUCGGUAUUGCUGUGACUUAUAGAUUGAUCCGCCCUGCAUUAGCUAGUUGGUAAGGUGACGGAUUACCAAGGCAACGAGUCAUAGACGACCCGAGAGGGUGAUCCGCCACACUGGAACAGAGACACGUCCCAGACUCUUGGGCGGGGCAGCAGUAGAGAAUCUUCCGCGAGGGAGGAAAGGCUGACGGAGCAACGCCGCGUGAGGGAUGAAGGUCCUCUGAUCGUAAAGCUCUGUUAGUAGGGAAGAACAUAUGUGUAUGUAACUGUGCACAUCUUGACGGUACCUAAUCAGAAAGCCACGGCUAACUACGUG
This 497-nucleotide ribosomal RNA is filed under the name uncultured bacterium. RNAcentral describes it as "partial 16S ribosomal RNA". It matches the Rfam family "Bacterial small subunit ribosomal RNA", at positions 28 to 507 of the family's 1533-position model. The record is from RNAcentral.